RNAcentral lists this unclassified non-coding RNA (379 nucleotides) under uncultured bacterium. RNAcentral describes it as "contains 16S-23S intergenic spacer region". The record is from RNAcentral.
UCCGGUUUGGCACCGGCAGUCCUCCCAGAGUCCCCGACUUGACUCGCUGGCAACUGGGAGCGGGGGUUGCGCUCGUUGCGGGACUUAACCCAACAUCUCACGACACGAGCUGACGACAGCCAUGCACCACCUGUGAUCCUGCCCACAAGGGGAAGCCGUGUUUCCACGGCGGUCAGGAACAUGUCAAACCCAGGUAAGGUUCUUCGCGUUGCGUCGAAUUAAACCACAUGCUCCACCGCUUGUGCAGGCCCCCGUCAAUUUCUUUGAGUUUUAGCCUUGCGGCCGUACUCCCCAGGCGGGAUGCUUAAAGCGUUAGUUACGGCACAGAGGGGGUCGACACCCCCCACACCUAGCAUCCACCGUUUAGGGCGUGGACUAC